AAUGUGGUUUUAAUAAAAACCACAAACAAUUUUAAACCAAUUAUUU
This is a non-coding RNA of Anopheles arabiensis, 46 nucleotides long. The record is from Rfam. Lineage: Eukaryota; Metazoa; Arthropoda; Insecta; Diptera; Culicidae.